This 433-nucleotide ribosomal RNA is filed under the name uncultured bacterium. RNAcentral's name for it is "partial 16S ribosomal RNA". It matches the Rfam family "Bacterial small subunit ribosomal RNA", at positions 29 to 507 of the family's 1533-position model. The record is from RNAcentral.
AACGAACGCUGGCGGCAUGCCUAACACAUGCAAGUCGAACGAGACCUUCGGGUCUAGUGGCGCACGGGUGCGUAACGCGUGGGAACCUGCCCUUAGGUUCGGAAUAACUCCCCGAAAGGGGUGCUAAUACCGGAUAAUGUCUUCGGACCAAAGAUUUAUCGCCUUUGGAUGGGCCCGCGUUGGAUUAGCUAGUUGGUAGGGUAAAAGCCUACCAAGGCGACGAUCCAUAGCUGGUCUGAGAGGAGGAUCAGCCACACUGGGACUGCGACACGGCCCAGACUGCUACGGGAGGGAGCAGAGGGGAACACUGGACGAUGGGCGAAAGCCUGAUCCCGCAACGCCGCGGAAGUGAUGAAGGGCUUAGGGUUGCAAAGCUCUCUUACCCGGGAUGAUAAUGACAGUACUGGGAGAAUAAGCUCCGGCUAACUACGUG